UGGGGAAUAUUGGACAAUGGGCGCAAGCCUGAUCCAGCCAUGCCGCGUGAGUGAUGAAGGCCCUAGGGUUGUAAAGCUCUUUCACCGGUGAAGAUAAUGACGGUAACCGGAGAAGAAGCCCCGGCUAACUUCGUGCCAGCAGCCGCGGUAAUACGAAGGGGGCUAGCGUUGUUCGGAUUUACUGGGCGUAAAGCGCACGUAGGCGGACUAUUAAGUCAGGGGUGAAAUCCCGGGGCUCAACCCCGGAACUGCCUUUGAUACUGGUAGUCUUUGGUUCGAGAGAGGUGAGUGGAAUUCCGAGUGUAAAGGGGAAAUUCGUAGAUAUUCGGAGGAACACCAGUGGCGAAGGCGGCUCACUGGCUCGAUACUGACGAUGGGGGGCGAAAGCGUGGGGAGCAAACAGG
Molecule: ribosomal RNA, 404 nt
Filed under: Verrucomicrobiota bacterium
Lineage: Bacteria; Pseudomonadati; Verrucomicrobiota
Description: Verrucomicrobia bacterium partial 16S ribosomal RNA
Rfam family: Bacterial small subunit ribosomal RNA
Source: RNAcentral